Molecule: ribosomal RNA, 119 nt
Filed under: Medicago truncatula (barrel medic)
Lineage: Eukaryota; Viridiplantae; Streptophyta; Magnoliopsida; Fabales; Fabaceae
Source: RNAcentral
AGGUGUGAUCAUACCAAUAUUAAUGUACCGGAUCUCAUCAGAACUUCGCAGUUAAACGUGCUUGGGCGAAAAUAGUACCAAGAUUCGUGACCUCCUGAAAAGUCCUUAUGUUGCACCUC